Molecule: ribosomal RNA, 482 nt
Filed under: uncultured bacterium
Lineage: Bacteria
Description: partial 16S ribosomal RNA
Rfam family: Bacterial small subunit ribosomal RNA
Source: RNAcentral
AUUGAACGCUGGCGGCAUGCUUUACACAUGCAAGUCGAACGGUAACAGGCCGCAAGGUGCUGACGAGUGGCGAACGGGUGAGUAAUGCAUCGGAACGUGCCCAGUCGUGGGGGAUAACUACUCGAAAGAGUAGCUAAUACCGCAUACGAUCUAUGGAUGAAAGCGGGGGACCGUAAGGCCUCGCGCGAUUGGAGCGGCCGAUGUCAGAUUAGGUAGUUGGUGGGGUAAAGGCUCACCAAGCCAACGAUCUGUAGCUGGUCUGAGAGGACGACCAGCCACACUGGGACUGAGACACGGCCCAGACUCCUGCGGGAGGCAGCAGUGGGGAAUUUUGGACAAUGGGCGCAAGCCUGAUCCAGCAAUGCCGCGUGCAGGAAGAAGGCCUUCGGGUUGUAAACUGCUUUUGUACGGAACGAAACGGCUCUGGUUAAUACCCGGGGCUAAUGACGGUACCGUAAGAAUAAGCACCGGCUAACUACGUG